RNAcentral lists this ribosomal RNA (253 nucleotides) under uncultured bacterium. Its description in RNAcentral is "partial 16S ribosomal RNA". It matches the Rfam family "Bacterial small subunit ribosomal RNA", at positions 524 to 776 of the family's 1533-position model. The record is from RNAcentral.
UACGUAGGGUGCAAGCGUUGUCCGGAUUUAUUGGGUUUAAAGGGUGCGUAGGCGGCUUUUUAAGUCAGUGGUGAAAUACAGCAGCUCAACUGUUGAGGUGCCAUUGAUACUGAGAGGCUUGAGUACAGAUGAGGUAGGCGGAAUUUAUGGUGUAGCGGUGAAAUGCAUAGAUACCAUAAAGAACACCGAUUGCGAAGGCAGCUUACUAAGCUGUAACUGACGCUGAGGCACGAAAGCGUGGGGAGCGAACAGG